This 750-nucleotide ribosomal RNA is filed under the name uncultured organism. RNAcentral's name for it is "bacterial SSU rRNA". It matches the Rfam family "Bacterial small subunit ribosomal RNA", at positions 55 to 824 of the family's 1533-position model. The record is from RNAcentral.
AUGCAAGUCGAACGGUCCUUAUGAUUAUCAUUUGGACAGUGGCAGACUGGUGAGUAACGCGUGGAUAAUCUGCCCCGAAGAUGAGGAUAGCUCGCCGAAAGGUGAGGUAAUCCUCAAUGGUGUGGGAAGUACAUAUGUACAUCCCACUAAAGCUUUAGCGCUUCGGGAUGAGUCUGCGUCCUAUCAGCUUGUUGGUAGAGUAAAGGUCUACCAAGGCUAAGACGGGUAACUGGUCUGAGAGGAUGGUCAGUCACAGUGGCACUGAAACACGGGCCACACUCCUACGGGAGGCAGCAAUCAGGAAUCUUGCACAAUGGAGGAAACUCUGAUGCAGCGACACCGCGUGAAGGAUGAAGACCCUCGGGUUGUAAACUUCUUUUAUAAUCUAACAAGUUCUGAGUGGAGUAUGAAUAAGCACCUGCUAACUGCGUGCCAGAAGCAUCAGUGAAGCGUGGGGUGCGAGCGUUAUCCGGAUUUAUUGGGCGUAAAGAGAUGCGUCGGCGUUUUGGUAAGCCUUCUGUCAAAGCCUUCGGCCUAACCGAAGAAAGGCAGAGGAUACUAUCAGAAUUGAGACAGAGAGGGGGAAGCGGAAUUCCCGGUGGAGCGGUGAAAUGCGUUGAUAUCGGGAGGAACACCAGUGGCGAAGGCAACUUCCUGGCUCUGUUCUGACGCUGAGGCUCGAAAGCGUGGAGAGCAAAGCGGAUUAGAUACCCGUGUAGUCCAUGCUGUAAACGUUGGAUACUGGACGUU